CAAACAUUGGCCCUUCCGCCUUGAGCUCCUUUCUCCCUCUUCACCAAAUUCUAGACGCAUCCAAGUAUUGUUGGGGAAGGUGCCACUGGACUCAAAUCCUGCUGUUCUACUGCAUACCAACACAGCUACCUACCUGAAACUAUCAUAAGAAACAAGGAUCUGUCUCACAAAUAGGAAGUGCGGGGAGACAAGAAAGCAUACCAGUCAACCCAGAAGAAGACCUGGACAGUGCCAUCUUGAACACCCAUCUAAGUACAUGGAAGUAAAUAGGCUUCAAAGGAAAUAAGUCUGCCUAUGAACCUCCAUAGGGUUCAUCUUCUUCUCAAAAUCAGGAUGGCACCUUCAGAAGGCUUUGCUCAAAAGAGCACAGCUGUCACAGUGAACACAGGAGGAGUGAGAGUCCUGCAGAUACAAAGCCAAGUAGAGAGCACAACCACGAUCUAGCCUUGAGGGAACCAUUAACAUGGUUCUAGGUGACCAGAACAGCC
Eublepharis macularius is the source of this 488-nucleotide long non-coding RNA. RefSeq lists it as uncharacterized. Lineage: Eukaryota; Metazoa; Chordata; Lepidosauria; Squamata; Eublepharidae. The record is from RefSeq and is a predicted model, not a curated record. The transcript is spliced from 4 exons.